Molecule: ribosomal RNA, 467 nt
Filed under: uncultured bacterium
Lineage: Bacteria
Description: partial 16S ribosomal RNA
Rfam family: Bacterial small subunit ribosomal RNA
Source: RNAcentral
GACGAACGCUGGCGGCGUGCUUAACACAUGCAAGUCGAACGGAAAGGCCCUGCUUUUGUGGGGUGCUCGAGUGGCGAACGGGUGAGUAACACGUGAGUAACCUGCCCUUGACUCUGGGAUAACUUCAGGAAACUGGGGCUAAUACCGGAUAGGAGCUCCUGCUGCAUGGUGGGGGUUGGAAAGUUUCGGCGGUUGGGGAUGGACUCGCGGCUUAUCAGCUUGUUGGUGGGGUAGUGGCUUACCAAGGCUUUGACGGGUAGCCGGCCUGAGAGGGUGACCGGCCACAUUGGGACUGAGAUACGGCCCAGACUCCUACGGGAGGCAGCAGUGGGGAAUAUUGCACAAUGGGCGGAAGCCUGAUGCAGCAACGCCGCGUGCGGGAUGACGGCCUUCGGGUUGUAAACCGCUUUCGCCUGUGACGAAGCGUGAGUGACGGUAAUGGGGAAAGAAGCACCGGCUAACUACGU